AGCGAACGCUGGCGGCAGGCUUAACACAUGCAAGUCGAACGGGCAUCUUCGGAUGUCAGCGGCAGACGGGUGAGUAACACGUGGGAACGUACCCUUCGGUUCGGAACAACUCUGGGAAACUGGAGCUAAUACCGGAUACGCCCUUAUGGGGAAAGGUUUACUGCCGAAGGAUCGGCCCGCGUCUGAUUAGCUAGUUGGUGGGGUGACGGCCUACCAAGGCGACGAUCAGUAGCUGGUCUGAGAGGAUGAUCAGCCACACUGGGACUGAGACACGGCCCAGACUCCUACGGGAGGCAGCAGUGGGGAAUAUUGGACAAUGGGCGCAAGCCUGAUCCAGCCAUGCCGCGUGAGUGAUGAAGGCCUUAGGGUUGUAAAGCUCUUUUGUCCGGGACGAUAAUGACGGUACCGGAAGAAUAAGCCCCGGCUAACUUCGUG
This 435-nucleotide ribosomal RNA is filed under the name uncultured bacterium. Its description in RNAcentral is "partial 16S ribosomal RNA". It matches the Rfam family "Bacterial small subunit ribosomal RNA", at positions 29 to 507 of the family's 1533-position model. The record is from RNAcentral.